AUUGAACGCUGGCGGCAGGCCUAACACAUGCAAGUCGAACGGUAACAGAACUAGCUUGCUAGUUGCUGACGAGUGGCGACGGGUGAGUAAUACUUAGGGAUCUGCCUCUGUGUGGGGGAUAACUAUUGGAAACGAUAGCUAAUACCGCAUGAUGUCUACGGACCAAAGGGGGGAUCUUCGGACCUCUCGCCAUUUGAUUAGCCCAAGUGAGAUUAGCUAGUUGGUGAGGUAAUGGCUCACCAAGGCGACGAUCUCUAGCUGGUUUGAGAGGAUGAUCAGCCACACUGGGACUGAGACACGGCCCAG
This 306-nucleotide ribosomal RNA is filed under the name uncultured bacterium. RNAcentral describes it as "bacterial SSU rRNA". It matches the Rfam family "Bacterial small subunit ribosomal RNA", at positions 30 to 334 of the family's 1533-position model. The record is from RNAcentral.